RNAcentral lists this ribosomal RNA (639 nucleotides) under uncultured bacterium. RNAcentral's name for it is "bacterial SSU rRNA". The stretch from base 1 to 543 matches the Rfam family "Bacterial small subunit ribosomal RNA", at positions 338 to 873 of the family's 1533-position model. The record is from RNAcentral.
CCUACGGGAGGCAGCAGUGGGGAAUAUUGCACAAUGGGCGAAAGCCUGAUGCAGCGACGCCGCGUGAGGGAUGACGGCCUUCGGGUUGUAAACCUCUUUCAGCAGGGAAGAAGCGAAAGUGACGGUACCUGCAGAAGAAGCGCCGGCUAACUACGUGCCAGCAGCCGCGGUAAUACGUAGGGCGCAAGCGUUGUCCGGAAUUAUUGGGCGUAAAGAGCUCGUAGGCGGCUUGUCACGUCGGAUGUGAAAGCCCGAGGCUUAACCUCGGGUCUGCAUUCGAUACGGGCUAGCUAGAGUGUGGUAGGGGAGAUCGGAAUUCCUGGUGUAGCGGUGAAAUGCGCAGAUAUCAGGAGGAACACCGGUGGCGAAGGCGGAUCUCUGGGCCAUUACUGACGCUGAGGAGCGAAAGCGUGGGGAGCGAACAGGAUUAGAUACCCUGGUAGUCCACGCCGUAAACGUUGGGAAACUAGGUGUUGGGUCGACGACUACCUACCGUCGGUCGGUCGGCCGCCGACGACGUACGUACACUUAACGUUACCCGUCCGUCGGGAGGUACGGCCGGCCGACGGACGUAAACGUAACGUAAAGUAAGUUAGUUACGGUCGUUGAGACGNGCGACGGACGACGACGAGGAGGAGG